Molecule: long non-coding RNA, 216 nt
Organism: Suncus etruscus (white-toothed pygmy shrew)
Lineage: Eukaryota; Metazoa; Chordata; Mammalia; Eulipotyphla; Soricidae
Exons: 2
Source: RefSeq, a predicted model, not a curated record
AAUUUUAGUUUAAGACUGAAGAAAGGUACAAGAAUUGAAAGGGACUUGAGGCUAUUUAUCUGAAGUCACCCCAGAACAUUCCACAUUCUCAAACCUUAAGAGAAUGAUUCUCAAGGGGCCCGCGAGCACAGCAGUAGGGUCUUUCCCUUGUCUGUGGCCAAGUAGCCCGAGUGCUGUUGGGUGUGGCCCAGAAACCAAUCAAUGAAUCAAUAAAUA